AUAAAGAUAUAAUCUUAGCCUAUACAUGAGCUGUUUGUGUAAACGUAUGCGUGUCUGAGAAUGUUCGGAGAAUGGGCAGCGCACAACUAGUAAAGGCUUUUAGGGCGCACUUCUAACCAGGGCGCCUGUCAACAUAAUGCCUGUUUCAUACGACUGUCAAAACCAGCGUAGUUAAACAUCUUUGCGAUGUCUCACCAAAACACUUUCAACCGAUAUAGUUCUAUGAGUGAGUCCGUUAAUCAGAGUCAACAUACGUUAGAAAUUGUUCAUUCUUUAAUGAUUUUAUCCAAAACGUAGGCCUACGUCAAUAAAUGUAUGCAUCGGGAUAGUGCAAGGGUUUUGAAAUAAGAAAAACAUAAAAUAUACUUUUAGAAAAGA
Molecule: non-coding RNA, 378 nt
Organism: Biomphalaria pfeifferi
Lineage: Eukaryota; Metazoa; Mollusca; Gastropoda; Planorbidae
Source: the annotation of a GenBank genome assembly